This 266-nucleotide ribosomal RNA is filed under the name uncultured bacterium. RNAcentral's name for it is "partial 16S ribosomal RNA". It matches the Rfam family "Bacterial small subunit ribosomal RNA", at positions 793 to 1055 of the family's 1533-position model. The record is from RNAcentral.
GUCCACGCCCUAAACGAUGCACACUAGUUGUUGUGAGGCUAGACCUUGCAGUAAUGCAGUUAACACAUUAAGUGUGCCGCCUGGGGAGUACGGUCGCAAGAUUAAAACUCAAAGGAAUUGACGGGGGCCCGCACAAGCGGUGGAGUAUGUGGUUUAAUUCGACGCAACGCGAAGAACCUUACCAGGUCUUGACAUUGAUCGCAAUUCCAAGAAAAUUGGAAGUUCCUCUUCGGAGGACGAGAAAACAGGUGGUGCACGGCUGUCGU